This 861-nucleotide ribosomal RNA is filed under the name uncultured soil bacterium. RNAcentral describes it as "bacterial SSU rRNA". It matches the Rfam family "Bacterial small subunit ribosomal RNA", at positions 56 to 917 of the family's 1533-position model. The record is from RNAcentral.
UGCAGUCGCGUGCGCAGUUCCGUAGCAAUACGGGAUGGGCGCACGGCGCACGGGUGCGUAACACGUGGGCAAUCUGCCCUCUGAUGGGGAAUAACCCGCCGAAAGGCGGGCUAAUUCCGCAUAAGAUUCCCGGAACUUCGGUUCUGGGAUUGAAAGCAGUAAUGCGUCGGAGGAGGAGCCCGCGCCCGAUUAGCUAGUUGGUGAGGUAACGGCUCACCAAGGCAAUGAUCGGUAGCUGGUCUGAGAGGAUGAUCAGCCACACUGGAACUGAGACACGGUCCAGACUCCUACGGGAGGCAGCAGUGGGGAAUCUUGCACAAUGGGCGAAAGCCUGAUGCAGCGACGCCGCGUGGGGGAUGAAGCAUUUCGGUGUGUAAACCCCUUUCGACUGGGAAGAAUGCCUCGCAAGAGGAGUGACGGUACCAGUAGAAGAAGCCCCGGCUAACUACGUGCCAGCAGCCGCGGUAAGACGUAGGGGGCCAGCGUUGUUCGGAAUUACUGGGUGUAAAGGGUUCGUAGGCGGUGCGGCAAGUUGGGAGCGAAAUCUCUGGGCUUAACCCAGAGGCUGCUUCCAAAACUGCUGUGCUCGAGUGUGAGAGAGGCUCGUGGAAUUGCGGGUGUAGCGGUGAAAUGCGUAGAUAUCUGCAGGAACACCCGUGGCGAAAGCGGCGAGCUGGAUCACUACUGACGCUGAGGAACGAAAGCUAGGGGAGCAAACAGGAUUAGAUACCCUGGUAGUCCUAGCCCUAAACGAUCAGGACUUGGGGUGCCGCCCGUUCGGGCGUCGUCCCGGAGCUACGCGUUAAGUCCUGCACCUGGGGGAGUACGGUCGCAAGACUGAAACUCAAAGGAAUUGACGGG